CAGUGGGGAAUAUUGCACAAUGGGCGCAAGCCUGAUGCAGCCAUGCCGCGUGUAUGAAGAAGGCCUUCGGGUUGUAAAGUACUUUCAGCAGUGAGGAAGGUGGGUAUGUUAAUAGCAUACUCAUUUGACGUUUAGCUGCAGAAGAAGCACCGGCUAACUCCGUGCCAGCAGCCGCGGUAAUACGGAGGGUGCGAGCGUUAAUCGGAAUUACUGGGCGUAAAGCGCAUGCAGGUGGUUUGUUAAGUCAGAUGUGAAAGCCCGGGGCUCAACCUCGGAAUUGCAUUUGAAAACUGGCAAACUAGAGUACUGUAGAGGGGGUAGAAUUUCAGGUGUAGCGGUGAAAUGCGUAGAGAUCUGAAGGAAUACCGGUGGCGAAGGCGGCCCCCUGGACAGAUACUGACACUCAGAUGCGAAAGCGUGGGGAGCAAACAGGAUUAUAUACCCUGGUAG
RNAcentral lists this ribosomal RNA (450 nucleotides) under uncultured bacterium. RNAcentral describes it as "bacterial SSU rRNA". It matches the Rfam family "Bacterial small subunit ribosomal RNA", at positions 352 to 793 of the family's 1533-position model. The record is from RNAcentral.